Molecule: ribosomal RNA, 395 nt
Filed under: uncultured bacterium
Lineage: Bacteria
Description: bacterial SSU rRNA
Rfam family: Bacterial small subunit ribosomal RNA
Source: RNAcentral
AUUGAACGCUGGCGGCAUGCCUUACACAUGCAAGUCGAACGGCAGCGGACCUUCGGGUGCCGGCGAGUGGCGAACAGGUGAGUAAUAUAUCGGAACGUACCUUUCAGUGGGGGAUAACGUAGCGAAAGUUACGCUAAUACCGCAUAUUCUGUGAGCAGGAAAGCAGGGGAUCGCAAGACCUUGCGCUGAUUGAGCGGCCGAUAUCAGAUUAGCUAGUUGGUGAGGUAAAGGCUCACCAAGGCGACGAUCUGUAGCGGGUCUGAGAGGAUGAUCCGCCACACUGGAACUGAGACACGGUCCAGACUCCUACGGGAGGCAGCAGUGGGGAAUUUUGGACAAUGGGCGCAAGCCUGAUCCAGCCAUGCCGCGUGAGUGAAGAAGGCCUCGGUUGUAAG